UAGGGAAUCUUCCGCAAUGGACGCAAGUCUGACGGAGCAACGCCGCGUGAGUGAAGAAGGAUUUCGGUUCGUAAAACUCUGUUGUUAGAGAAGAACAGCGCAUAGAGUAACUGUUAUGCGUGUGACGGUAUCUAACCAGAAAGCCACGGCUAACUACGUGCCAGCAGCCGCGGUAAUACGUAGGUGGCAAGCGUUGUCCGGAUUUAUUGGGCGUAAAGCGAGCGCAGGCGGUCAAUUAAGUCUGAUGUGAAAGCCCCCGGCUCAACCGGGGAGGGUCAUUGGAAACUGGUUGACUUGAGUGCAGAAGAGGAGAGUGGAGUUCCAUGUGUAGCGGGGAAAUGCGAAGAGAUAUGGAGGAACACCAGUGGCGAAGGCGACUUUCUGGUCUGUAACUGACGCUGAUGUGCGAAAGCGUGGGGAUCAAACAGG
This 429-nucleotide ribosomal RNA is filed under the name Bacteroidota bacterium. RNAcentral describes it as "Bacteroidetes bacterium partial 16S ribosomal RNA". It matches the Rfam family "Bacterial small subunit ribosomal RNA", at positions 355 to 776 of the family's 1533-position model. Lineage: Bacteria; Pseudomonadati; Bacteroidota. The record is from RNAcentral.